This is a long non-coding RNA of Oncorhynchus keta (chum salmon), 798 nucleotides long. RefSeq lists it as uncharacterized. The record is from RefSeq and is a predicted model, not a curated record. The transcript is spliced from 3 exons. Lineage: Eukaryota; Metazoa; Chordata; Actinopteri; Salmoniformes; Salmonidae.
UGUGUCAGAUAUUAGGUUGUGUUGUGGAAUGUGUCAGAUAUUAGGUUGUGUUGUGGAAUGUGUCAGAUAUUAGGUUGUGUUGUGGAAUGUGUUAGAUAUUAGGUUGUGUUGUGGAAUGUGUUAGAUAUUAGGUUGUGUUGUGGAAUGUGUCAGAUAUUAGGUUGUGUUGUGGAAUGUGUCAGAUAUUAGGUUGUGUUGUGGAAUGUGUCAGAUAUUAGGUUGUGUUGUGGAAUGUGUCAGAUAUUAGGUUGUGUUGUGGAAUGUGUCAGAUAUUAGGUUGUGUUGUGGAAUGUGUCAGAUAUUAGGUUGUGUUGUGGAAUGUGUCAGAUAUUAGGUUGUGUUGUGGAAUGUGUCAGAUAUUAGGUUGUGUUGUGGAAUGUGUCAGAUAUUAGGUUGUGUUGUGGAAUGUGUCAGAUAUUAGGUUGUGUUGUGGAAUGUGUCAGAUAUUAGGUUGUGUUGUGGAAUGUGUCAGAUAUUAGGUUGUGUUGUGGAAUGUGUCAGAUAUUAGGUUGUGUUGUGGAAUGUGUCAGAUAUUAGGUUGUGUUGUGGAAUGUGUCAGAUAUUAGGUUGUGUUGUGGAAUGUGUCAGAUAUUAGGUUGUGUUGUGGAAUGUGUUAGAUAUUAGGUUGUGUUGUGGAAUGUGUUAGAUAUUAGGUUGUGUUGUGGAAUGUGUUAGAUAUUAGGUUGUGUUGUGGAAUGUGUUAGAUAUUAGGUUGUGUUGUGGAAUGUGUUAGAUAUUAGGUUGUGUUGUGGAAUGUGUUAGAUAUUAGGUUGUGUUGUGGAAUGUGUUAGAUAUUAG